AUCUUUCCCGCAUCCAGCACCACCCGCUAUGGAUACCCUCCUCCACCCUCCUCCGCAAACUAGUUCCUCCUCCACUUCCAUGGCCAAACGCCCUUGUUCCUCUUCUUCUCAAAACCCUAGGCUUCCUUUUCACUUCUCUCAAAUGGAUCAUCUCCUCCACUCUUUCCUUUCCUUCCCCGAUUCCUCCCUUCCUAUUUCUCUCGACCUUUCCUUCGACCGCCUCCUCGAUUGCUCCCCUUCCGACGCCGAUCAAGCUCUUCUAAUCGAUCGCGCUCACAACCUAGGUUGCCUCCUCCUCCGUGCCGCGAAUCGUUCUGCUCGGAAACGUGCUUCGCUUCAUAACUCCGUCGCUUGGGUCCUCCCUCCUGAUCUUACCAUCAAGGUGUUUUCGAUGCUUGAUUCGCAGAGUCUUUGCUACGCCGCGGCAACGUGUUCGAUGUUUCACAAGUGUGCCAUGGAUCCUUUCUGCUAUGCCAAUAUUGAUCUAACUACUGUCGUGCCCAAGGUUAAUAAUGCCGUUGUUUCCACCAUGAUCCAACGAGCUGGAAAAUCACUCCGAUCUCUUAAGCUCGGUAUAGUACCUGGAACAACUGGGUCUCCUGGUUCCAGUCAACCGUUGGUUUAUACCAUCAGGAACUCUGUAGAUGUAUCCAACUUUUCAUGGAAUGAUAAAAGGAUCAGGCAAGGGAAGGAAUCAUCCAUUCUUACAAGGACAUGCUUGUAUCCAUUAAGUGGGGACAAUGGAGCCACUGGGACUCUUUUGAGGAGGUUGCAUCUUUACAAUAUCGAAAGGAUGGAUAAUGCAUCACUUUGUGUGGCAUUAGCAGCAUGCCCUUCUUUACUUGAUUUGGAAAUUGUUGGCCUCAGUCAUGUUGAGCUGAGGCAAACCUUGAUGUCAGUGAGCUCAAAUUGUCACUUCAUAGAGCGUUUAUUCUUUGAGUCUUCCAAAACAGGAGGUGAUGAAAGCUUGAAAUCGCCAACAUGUUUUGAGCUGGUGAACAACUGUCCUAAUCUUUCUUCUUUGUCGCUGAGAGGCUUUAAACUGCAUGAUUGUAAAGUACGCAUACUUGUUAAGGGAUUCCGUAAACUUAAAUAUGUUGAUUUUUCAACGUCAUACUCAAUCACUGGAACCUUUUUGAGGAAUUUGGGCAAUGGCAGUGGUGGAGAUCUACUAGAGGUUUUAAUAUUGAGGGACUGCAUGCAUCUAAGAGAGAUGGAAGUUGCUCGGUUCUUGACAGCUGUUUUUGAAGGAGAUUUUAAGUUUCUUAAACAUCUUGACAUAUCUAAUAGGGAAGGUUUAGCUUCUGAAGGUGACUGGUAUCAGAGAUCUUACAACUCCAGCUUUAUUCCUUUGAAGCAAGUUUCGGAAGUAAGACCUGAUGUUUGUUUGCUGGCUGAGUUUCCAUCAGAAGGAUGCUUCCUCGACAUAGACCACAUGAUUGAUAGUGAUAUUAACAGUGAGCUCAGCCUGCCAUUCCAGCAGAGUGAUCAUACUUAUGAUGGUACAAUGCUCACGAGUUCAUUAGAUAGCAAUUAUAAUAGUGAUCAGGGUAGCGGUAAUGAGGAGUAUCAAGAUUCAGGUUUUGUAAUUUAUGAGGAAAGCUCAGAUGAGGUGGAUUUCCUGGUCUAGAAAAGAUACCAGUAUAGCCGAGUUUUGAAACUCUCAGCCACUAAAUGCACUGAUAACUGGAAAGGAGGCUUUUUUUUUUCAUAACCGAAGAAAGGUGGAUGGGUCCAAUAGUGAAUGGCAGUGUAGUAUAGUUUCUUCUAUCAUUCUCUUAUGAUAAUUCAAAGCUCUGAGGCUGUGAUAUCCGACUACGUCGGGGGUGUUCUUUUGCUCCACUCAUUUUUUGAUCCCCGUUACUGUAGAAGCUAUGUGUAGCUCAUGAAAGGGGCAACCAAUGCUUGGAGAGUUGUUGCUAAGUGUAAUUUGUAGUGAGAUGGCCUUUGCUGAAAUAUUUUAUUUUUGAUCGCCAGCGGCAAUUGUAACCCUUAGAAUCUGCAGGUGAAAUUGAGUUGGAGAAAACAAAGCAGUAAAAUUUACAAUGCCAAGGGCCUUUCAUUCAA
Molecule: RNA transcript, 2067 nt
Organism: Hibiscus syriacus
Lineage: Eukaryota; Viridiplantae; Streptophyta; Magnoliopsida; Malvales; Malvaceae
Gene name: F-box protein SKIP17-like
Exons: 13
Source: RefSeq, a predicted model, not a curated record